Molecule: ribosomal RNA, 426 nt
Filed under: uncultured Lysobacteraceae bacterium
Lineage: Bacteria; Pseudomonadati; Pseudomonadota; Gammaproteobacteria; Lysobacterales; Lysobacteraceae
Description: bacterial SSU rRNA
Rfam family: Bacterial small subunit ribosomal RNA
Source: RNAcentral
GGGUAAUAUUAGACAAUGUUCGCAAGCUCUACCCAGUCAUGCGGCGGGGGUGAGUAAGGGCUUCGGGUUUUAAAGCCGUUUUGCUGCGUAAGAAAAGCAGCAGCAGAAAACCCGGUUGUUCUGACGUUACCCAAAGAAUAAGCACCGGCUCACUCCGUGCCAGCAGCCGCGGUAAUACGAAGGGUGCAAGCGUUACUCGGAAUUACUGGGCGUAAAGCGUGCGUAGGUGGUGGUUUAAGUCCGUUGUGAAAGCCCUGGGCUCAACCUGGGAACUGCAGUGGAUACUGGAUCACUAGAGUGUGGCAGAGGGUAGUGGAAUUCCCGGUGUAGCAGUGAAAUGCGUAGAGAUCGGGAGGAACAGCAGUGGCGAAGGCGACUGCCUGUGCCAACACUGACACUGAGGCACGAAAGCGUGGGGAGCAAACA